AUGAGCCUUCUUCAGCUAGUGAGAAUAGAGGUUGACAAUGAUGAAGGCAGUGCUGCUGAAAGUGAAGAAGAGCAAGAAUCUGUUCAGAGAAAGGGAGCGUCAAGUAAAAAAACCAGAGAGAAAUAUGAAGAGGACGAAGAGGGCGAGGAUGAGGAUGAAGAGACUGCCGCAGAUCGUAGGCGAAAAUACAAAAGGCGGAGGAUGAAAGAUGGUGGAUUAGACAUCAGCGAAUCGGAUGGAGAAGGCUGCAAAAGCAGGAAGAACAGAGCCAACCAGAUGACCAAGGAUGGUGAUGAAGAAGAUGGGGAUAAAAAACGAAAGGACAAGAAAAAAGGGAAAAAGAAAAAAAAGAAAGACAAAAAGAAAAAAGGAUCAGGGUAAGGCCUUAUUAUGAUGAUGAUCUCUUGAAUGUAAAGUCAAUGAUGGUUGUGUUAGGCAUACUGCAGCAAUCU
RNAcentral lists this long non-coding RNA (452 nucleotides) under Podarcis muralis (Common wall lizard). RNAcentral describes it as "lncRNA (ENSPMRG00000014486.1)". Lineage: Eukaryota; Metazoa; Chordata; Lepidosauria; Squamata; Lacertidae. The record is from RNAcentral.